CGGACAAGCGAGGGCCGAAGAGCCGCCUUCUGCUACGACAUGUGGCCGCAGCCUCGCUCGGCCUGGGCGGGGAACAGGCGAGCCGCUGCCGCCGCCGCUAUGAGGAGGUCGCCCUGGAUCCUGACUGUCAGCAGAGACUAGCCCUGGAUCAAUACCUUUGACUGGGUUUUCGCUCUCACACAGGACAGUGGACAUGUGCCCCCAGUUUCCUGGGUCUAUAGAGUGUGCAUCCAACAUGGAUUCAUUUUCAUAAACAAAAAUGGGUUUCAUGAGCAAAUUCUGCAAAGGCUAAAAAGGGGUUUGGUGGAAGGGGAGUAUGUUUGGCACUAUUUUUCAUAGUGUGGCCUGGGUAGUGUUGGGCAGGGCAACUCGGGGCAGGACCUUUUCUGCUAUAGCCCCACACUUGCAGAAGGUGGUCCCAUAGAGUACCAUCUGCAUAAUUUUUUGACCAGCCUCCGAAACAUCUUUGUUGUUGCUUUCAUGGAUUCAUUUUAACUGGGUGGCAGCAGUGGUGGGGUUCUUUAUACUUCGUUAUAUUCAUGUUGUUUUUGCUAAUUUUUUUAUGUUGGUAUUUUAAAAAUUUUGAGUGUUUUAAAUGUUUAAGGUGUAUUUAUAUAUUGUUUAUUGAUUGCUGUUUAGUUUGUGUAUCAUGUUUAAUGCUUUGUGAUGAUAUUCUCCUAAAAGGCAGGAUAGAAAACUAUUAAAUAAAUAAAUAAAUAAAUAAAUCAGAUAUCUAUUACUCAGCCAGCAAAGUUUUCGGCAAGUUACUUUCUCUCAACUUCAUCUUUCUCAUAAGGUUAUUGUGAAGAUAAACUGAGCUAUCUGUAUACUACUCUGCUGCUUGGAUAAAGGGAUACAAAGGGGAUGGAUGAAAUCAUACAGAAAAGUAUUUUGUUUCACUUCUGGAAAAACCAGUAGUUCAGUACUUGAGAAAGUAAAAUAAAAGGCAGGCCUUCCAUCUCUGAAGUAAUUAGUCCUGUCAUUUGAAACCUUCUUUUUGUGCAAUUUGAUUUCAAAGAAGAACUCAUCAGGUUUUUCAAGGAGAAGAUGAAAGGCUUGGUCAGGGGAGAAUGAAGGGGGAGAAAUAUGGCCUGUUGGCAAUUUAACAGAUAAUGUAUGUAAGUAAGUAUUGUACUGAAAACAUUUUUGUAACUCAACACAAAAUUUUUUGCAGGUUUAGCUCCAAAGUAAAUCCUACUGUGUUCAAUGGUG
This is a non-coding RNA of Podarcis muralis (Common wall lizard), 1212 nucleotides long. The record is from RefSeq and is a predicted model, not a curated record. NCBI's taxonomy places the organism in Eukaryota, Metazoa, Chordata, Lepidosauria, Squamata, Lacertidae.